Molecule: ribosomal RNA, 891 nt
Filed under: Bradyrhizobium sp.
Lineage: Bacteria; Pseudomonadati; Pseudomonadota; Alphaproteobacteria; Hyphomicrobiales; Nitrobacteraceae
Description: bacterial SSU rRNA
Rfam family: Bacterial small subunit ribosomal RNA
Source: RNAcentral
ACCUGCAGUCGAUCGGGCGUAUCAAUACGUCUGCGGCCGACGGGUGAGUAACGCCUGGCCUCUUACGUUUUGGUUCGGAACCACCCAGGGGAACUUGGGCUCAUACCGGAUAAGCCCUUACGGCGAAACAUUUAUCGCCGAAAGAUCGGCCCGCGUCUGAUUACCUAGUUGGUAAGGUAAUGGCCUACCACGGCGACGAUCAGUAGCUGGUCUGAGACGAUGAUCACCCCCCUUGGGACUGAGACACGGCCCAAACUCCUACGGGAGGCAGCCUUGUGCAAUAUCGGACAAUGGGCGCAAGCCUGAUCCAGCCAUGCCGCGUGACUGAUGAAGGCCCUAGGGUUGUAAAGCUCUUUUGUGCGGGAAGAUAAUGACGGUACCGCAUCAAUAAGCCCCGGCUAACUUCCUGCCAGCAGCCGCGGUAAUACGAAGGGGGCUAGCGUUGCUCGGAAUCACUGGGCGUGAAGGGUGCGUAUGCGGGUCUUUAAGUCAGGGGUGAUAUCCUGGAGCUCGACUCCACAAGUGCCUUUGAUACCGAAUAUCUUGAGUCCCGGAGACGUGAGUGGAACUGCUAAUGUAGAUGUGCAAUUCGUAGAUAUUCGGCACAACACCAGUGGCGAAGGCAGCUCACUGGCCCGGUACUGACGCUGAAGCACGAAAGCGUGUGGAGCAAACAGGAUUAGAUACCCUGGUAGUCCACGCCGGAAACGAUGAAUGCCAGCCGUUACUGGGUUUACUCACUCGUGGCGCAGCCAACGCUUUUAGCAUUCCGCCUGCGGAGUACGGUCGCAAGAUUAUAACUCAAAGGAGUUGACGGGGGCCCGCACACGCGCUGGAGCAUGCGGUUUAAUUCUUCGCAUCCCGCAGAACCUUUCUAGCCCUUGACAUGUC